Molecule: long non-coding RNA, 880 nt
Organism: Fukomys damarensis (Damara mole-rat)
Lineage: Eukaryota; Metazoa; Chordata; Mammalia; Rodentia; Bathyergidae
Exons: 3
Source: RefSeq, a predicted model, not a curated record
CCUGGGCAGCCUGGAGGACGGUGUGUGAUGUGGACUGAAGGCUUCUGGGCAUCCUUGGAGUCCGGGACCCAAUCUAGUCUCUCUCCUCUGGAAGGUAAAUUAUGAAGGACAAGACCAGAGAUUUUCCUUGUGGCAGCUGUAUUUCCAUGGCCCUGACGUGCUCCUCCUUGUAGAUUUCAACAUAUUUGCGGAUGAGUAAGUGAGUGCAGAGCUGUCCUCACGGAGGGACAACAGUCUGCCCUUGGCACCAGUGUCACCCACAGAUCCACAGAUCUUAGGCCCACAUGGAUUUUAUCUCACUACGUGGUGACAUAUCUGGGUCCAGACUCACUGCACAUCUCACCCUGUAGUUCUACUUGAGCCUGGCCUUCAACUCCCCGGUGUUCCAGGACGGCCUCAAACUCAGCGAUCCUCCUGCCUCAGCCUCACACGUGCUGGAAUUAAGCCAUCACGAUCACGUCCGUUCUCCAGGAUUCUAGGCGGUGAAGAAGGCGCUGCCUGUGCGGGUGCGAGGAGGACCGUGAGCACCGCGGCCCAGGCCGAGCUCCCUCCGCUCUGUUACCCGGGAGAGGCGGCUAAAGGGGCGUCGGGGCUGGGAGGGAAUGGGGGUCGCUCUGGGAGGUCCGGGCAGGUACGGGACAGGGCGGGGCCGCGCUCUCCUCUCACAGCCUCUGCGCGGGACUCGGGAGACCUAGUGAGCAGCCGGUGCGGGAGGAGAGGGUCAGGGCAGAGUCCGCGGGCCCAGGGCGGUCGGGUGAGGACGCUCAUCCCGGGAUUCCCCUCUGCCUGGGUUUCACUUCUGCCUCGGCCAAGCCGUGUCGGGUGCUUCUGCCUGGACACUCGUGACGCGACUCCACUUCCCACUCCCAUUGGUUGCUGU